UACGUAGGGUGCGAGCGUUAAUCGGAAUUACUGGGCGUAAAGCGUGCGUAGGCGGUUCGUUAAGUUCGUUGUGAAAGCCCCGGGCUCAACCUGGGAAUGGCAAUGGAAACUGGCGGGCUGGAGUAUGGCAGAGGGGGGUAGAAUUCCACGUGUAGCAGUGAAAUGCGUAGAGAUGUGGAGGAAUACCGAUGGCGAAGGCAGCCCCCUGGGAUAACACUGACGCUCAUGCACGAAAGCGUGGGGAGCAAACAGG
This 253-nucleotide ribosomal RNA is filed under the name uncultured bacterium. Its description in RNAcentral is "partial 16S ribosomal RNA". It matches the Rfam family "Bacterial small subunit ribosomal RNA", at positions 524 to 776 of the family's 1533-position model. The record is from RNAcentral.